Molecule: non-coding RNA, 520 nt
Organism: Propithecus coquereli (Coquerel's sifaka)
Lineage: Eukaryota; Metazoa; Chordata; Mammalia; Primates; Indriidae
Source: the annotation of a RefSeq genome assembly
CCGGCAUUCCCAGGUGUCCCCAUUCGGUGAUCAAGACUGAACACAGAGACUCACCAUGGAGUCUGGGCUCAGCUGGGUUUUCCUUGUUGCUCUGUUACAAGGUGUCCAGUGUGAGGUGCAGCUGGUGGAGUCUGGGGGAGGCUUGGUCCAGCCUGGGGGGUCCCUGACACUCUCCUGUGCAGCCUCCGGAUUCACCUUCAGUGACUACGGGAUGCAUUGGGUCCGCCAGGCUUCCGGGAAGGGGCUGGAGUGGGUCUCAUACAUCUAUAGUAGUAGUAGCACAUACUACGCAGAUGCCGUGAAGGGCCGUUUCACCACUUCCAGAGACAACAGGAAGAACACGCUGUCUCUGCAAAUGAACAGUCUGAGAGCCGAGGACACGGCCGUGUACUACUGUGCGAGAGACACAGUGAGGGGACAUCAGCGUGAGCCCAGACACAAACCUCUUGCGGGGGCCGCCAGGGGGCGCGCGGUGCACAAGGAGCAGAGUCAGCCCAGGGCAGGUGCAGGUGGAGGGUAA